This is a small nuclear RNA of Eublepharis macularius, 103 nucleotides long. The record is from RefSeq and is a predicted model, not a curated record. Lineage: Eukaryota; Metazoa; Chordata; Lepidosauria; Squamata; Eublepharidae.
UUACUUUGGCAGUACAUAUACUAAAAUUGGAAUGAUACAGAGAAGAUUAGCAUGCCACCUGAACAACAGUGACAUGCAAAUUUCUGAAGAGUCCAAUAUUAUU